Molecule: ribosomal RNA, 253 nt
Filed under: uncultured bacterium
Lineage: Bacteria
Description: partial 16S ribosomal RNA
Rfam family: Bacterial small subunit ribosomal RNA
Source: RNAcentral
UACGUAGGGUGCGAGCGUUAAUCGGAAUUACUGGGCGUAAAGCGUGCGCAGGCGGACUUUUAAGCCAGACGUGAAAGCCCCGGGCUUAACCUGGGAAUGGCGUUUGGGACUGGGAGUCUGGAGUACGGCAGAGGAGACUGGAAUUCCUGGUGUAGCAGUGAAAUGCGUAGAUAUCAGGAGGAACACCGAUGGCGAAGGCAGGUCUCUGGGCUGAUACUGACGCUCAUGCACGAAAGCGUGGGGAGCAAACAGG